UAAUUGUUUGUACCGAACCUUUUCCGAAUGACUGUGUACCAAGAACUGUCGCACGACGAUGAUCCUGCAAAGCACCAGCGACAAUUUCGGAAGCACUGGCCGAGCCACCAUUAAUCAGAACAAUCAACGGCUUGCCAUUAGAAAUAUCGCCCGGCUUUGCGUCAAAACGCAUGACUUCUGCCUGAUCGCGCCCACGCGUUGAAACAAUUUCACCUUUAUCAAGGAAUGCGUCGGAUACACUGACAGCCUGAUCCAGCAAUCCGCCCGGAUU
This 271-nucleotide non-coding RNA is filed under the name uncultured Bartonella sp. The record is from RNAcentral. Lineage: Bacteria; Pseudomonadati; Pseudomonadota; Alphaproteobacteria; Hyphomicrobiales; Bartonellaceae.